This is a non-coding RNA of Zea mays, 133 nucleotides long. Lineage: Eukaryota; Viridiplantae; Streptophyta; Magnoliopsida; Poales; Poaceae. The record is from Rfam.
CACCGCCCGCCACGCUAUAGGAGUUGGCCAGGCUUGAAGUCAUUACCCUUAACUGUAAGGAGGGGGUGCUUAAGGCUAAGCUUACGACUAGAGUGAAGUCAUAACAAGGUAGUCGUACUAGAAGGUGCGACUC